Molecule: ribosomal RNA, 366 nt
Filed under: Phyllocoptes terniflores
Lineage: Eukaryota; Metazoa; Arthropoda; Arachnida; Trombidiformes; Eriophyidae
Description: partial small subunit ribosomal RNA
Source: RNAcentral
CUUUUUGCUAUCAAAGAGCGACGGGCGAUAUGUGCAUAAAAAAUUACAUUUUCAAGAAAAGUUUUUUUUUUUAUUUUAUUUACAAGUUCUAUUUCCUUUAUGGUUUUCUUGUAUGUUCUAUAUUUUUUUUAAAAAUGUGCCCCAUUUCUACGAAUUUAUAAUCUUUGUAUUGAUUUGUUUUACUAUUUAAACUAUUUUUAAAGGCAAGUUUUUGAACUUUCUUUUAAAACAAUGAUAUAAAAGAUCAAAAUAUUUGUACAUUUAAACGUGGGUUAUCGAUUAAAGUACAGGACCCCCUGUUAUGAUUUUUUACCGCCAUAUUUUUUAGGUUUCUUUUAUUUACAUACUACCUUCUCUGUUAUAGGA